GCAUUAUGAUCGCUGAGGAAAAGGACAAAAUAAGGGGAUUGUGUUUUAGAUUUUGGGAUUCUACAGACAUACUGGGAUUAAAUAUUGAAGUUUGGAAAUAUUUUCCAUAGCAUGUUCUCUUUAAAAAUUCUGUCAAAGAUGCAGUGCAGUGUAUGAUUGACAAAAGAGUGGCAAAAAAACUGAAAUUGUCCUCUAAGUGUUUUAUCAGUGCAUCCAAGAUCUCUAUUUUCCAUGUGAAUAGGACAGUGAAGUGGCUAGAUGGAACAUGCAAUGGAAAGAACCUGUGAGUGGGACUCUAAGAGGCCAAAUGGAACCCUCUUCAGCCAAUUAGAGUCCUGGAGGGUGCAGUACAGUUAAUCCCCAUGGUAACACGGAUGAAGGGCACAGUACUACAUCCUCCUGCUCCUUUUCCGUCCCCAGCUUUUCAUGUGAAAAUGUAUUCCAUUGUCUCGAGCUCCUGCUGCAGAAAUAGGCUUGUGGGGGGUAAAAAAAAAAAAAAAAACAUCUUCAUUGACAGGAAGAGAUGUUUUCCAGGAAAGAAAUACAAGUGGGCAAAAAAACAACUUAAAAAAAAAAACAGAAAUACCAUUUCAGAUGAGAUGAUGGAGAGACUCGCUAGUACACGGACUUUGUUUACCUGUUUACUAAUUUAACAUGUUUUCAAGAAGUUGUAAAAUGUACUUUGUCUGUUGUGGAGGAAAGAAAUGAUUCAGAGAUACAUUAGCACAUGAAUUAAAAUGAGACAGUUCCAUUAGCAUGAUUGUCUCAACAUCCUGCCAUACAAGACCUGCAAGAUAGAUGGGCUUUGGAACCCAAAAAAAAAACAAAAAAACAAGAAUGAGUCAUGGGUUAUUCAUACCUGUUUCGGGCACAGUAAAGAGGUUAAACUCACAGUGGUGCCAAGCUACAAAAGGAUCUAUGUGGACCAUCAACCCUCAUUUGACCACAAGUUAGAGCUUGGCAUUGAGUGAUAGAAAGUGUACAUAGUAGCGGGGUGGGAGUGGGGAUUAUCUCAGGCAACAUUUAUGAACGCUGAAAAGUGCAUAUAAAGCAGUUCUCAUCAUUAUUUAUGAUUAAUUGUAAUUUGGAGUGAUAAUGGCCGUGGCAAAAAUUGUCUUUUUGACAUCACAAG
Astatotilapia calliptera (eastern happy) is the source of this 1132-nucleotide long non-coding RNA. NCBI's taxonomy places the organism in Eukaryota, Metazoa, Chordata, Actinopteri, Cichliformes, Cichlidae. The record is from Ensembl.